UGACCCCGGCCUCAUUGUCGGUGGAUCCGGCCGCCCGGAGGCGAGGGGAGACCGGCUAUCACCCUCUCUACUCUUCUCUCCUUCUACGUCCGGCACCGCUACAACGACGGCCGCGCGGAUCGCGUGAGGCAACGGAUCGGCGGAGGCCUGCAACAACAACGGCCGCGCGGGCGAGCAAUCGAGGAGGCCGGGAAUCACCAGAUCCGGAAGGACGGCGGCCCGAUUCGGAGAGGGAGCAACCCGAUCUGUGUCAUUGAGGCUCAUUGUAAGUGUCGACGGCGGCCGUUCCUUCACAGUGAUCCAGGGUCGUUGGGUCUGUUGAGCUCGGUAUCGACGGCAGCAGUAGCUCGGGCAAGAUGGAAGAAACGUGUUAGACACGGCCUCCUCCGAGAGCAUACACCAGCGACGUGCAGGAGGCCGAGGCCAAAGCCGAUCUUCCCCAACCCCAUCUGGCAUUAUAACUUCGAGAAGGUCAGCCUGAUGGUGCAGAACUCUGGCUUGAGGAAGACAUGCUUCAGUGUUUCUCCAUGCACCGACAACACUAUCAUCCUGCCACCACAACACACAAAUCUGGCGAUGCUUCCACCUGCAUCUGCAUGCCCCUGGCUCCCUGCAUACAAGCCUCUUGCUAUUGACAGGAUUUUAUGGCAGGAAAGCUCCCAUAAGCUUCUUGGGAGGUUAGACUGCAGCAGUAAUGAAAGGUGCUGAUGAUGGAUCAUUUAGGAUAUUGUGUGCUUUGCCAGCGUUUCAGGUCCGGAUGCGGCAUCCACGUGGGCAGGCCGUUACCAUGAAGAUCAUGCCAUCGGAUUAGUUGUCCAUGUGCAUAGAUCAAAGAAAAAAAGAAGGUACAGAUGGCAAGUAUAUACUGAAGAUCUAUAUCUGUGGUCUACUACAGCUCAACUGUUGUAAACAAUACCUGUGAUGCAUCGUUCUUCCAAAGUUUCAUAGAUGGCCUUUGCAUUAAAUAGUAUAUCCAUAUCUUUUUUUAGUGAAUAGUACUUGCAAUUUUGAGUGUGUGCUUUCCAUCUCAUAAGGUUUCCAUGUUUCAUAAUGUCCUCUUGAGUUUAAUUUGAGUUUUC
This 1079-nucleotide long non-coding RNA is filed under the name Oryza sativa Indica Group (long-grained rice). RNAcentral's name for it is "lncRNA OsLaMu_09g0012360". The record is from RNAcentral. Lineage: Eukaryota; Viridiplantae; Streptophyta; Magnoliopsida; Poales; Poaceae.